Molecule: small RNA, 141 nt
Filed under: Thiopseudomonas denitrificans
Lineage: Bacteria; Pseudomonadati; Pseudomonadota; Gammaproteobacteria; Pseudomonadales; Pseudomonadaceae
Description: PrrF RNA
Source: RNAcentral
UGCAUCAGAUAAUGCGAACCAUUAUCAUCUACAUCACUGGCUAAUCACCAGCGAGUAGUCCGCAAUCAUGCAAUGAUUCCGGUUUCUCCUCAUCAGGCUUAACACGGUGUUUGACCCGCCCAGGUGGCGGGUCUUUUUUUG